CAGCCUCUCAAAACCCUCCCCUAAAUCGACAAUAGGAUCAAUAGAAAUCGAUGAGUUGAUUUGGUUCUCCCUCAAAUCCCAUCGUUGCUCGAUCAACCACCGCUUGAGGAGGCGCAUCGCCGAGCCUCCUCCAUCUCCAACCUCUGUGGUAACCACCGCGGCCAAGAUCUAGCCGAGUAACGCCAUCAUCUCUCACUGUUCUUCAUUGUCCCAGAGACCGCGAAAGAGCUUGCUGGAAACCCCUUUCGCCACCGCCGCCUCUCCCCCAUCCUUGUCCGUCUCACCGCCACAGUUAACUCCGACCUCCACCUUAGACCACCAAUGCCCCGUAUCUCCUCUGCCGACGUGACCGGGUUUGAAGUUUGAACAAGAGCUGUCUGCCUCUUUCCCUUUUCAACUGUUAGGAUUGAUACUUGAAUUUGAAAGUUACAGUUGCAUCUGCAGAAAGAAGUUUCUCCAAGUUGAAGUUGAUCAAGACUUAUCUCCGCUCAACUAUGUCGCAAGAUAGAUGUAAUGCAUUGGCUAUGUUGUCUAUUGAGAAAAAAAUGCUCGAACAACUUGAUUAUGUAAACUUGAUUGAUAUUUUUGCCGAGAGUAGAUUUUAAUUGAUCAUUUAGAAAAUUUUUGAUUUUCUUCUUUGAUAUGGUAUGAAUAUUUAUUUAUUUUUUUGAUGUUUUAUUAUGAAAAAAUAAAAAUUGAAUGUACACUGAUUCAGGCUCAUUUUUACCUUUCGACUUAGAACUUACAAACUCUCAGGUAUGGCACUGCUCA
This is a long non-coding RNA of Diospyros lotus (date-plum), 771 nucleotides long. RefSeq lists it as uncharacterized. The transcript is spliced from 3 exons. Lineage: Eukaryota; Viridiplantae; Streptophyta; Magnoliopsida; Ericales; Ebenaceae. The record is from RefSeq and is a predicted model, not a curated record.